AGCAGCCGCGGUAAUUCCAGCUCCAAUAGCGUAUAUUAAAGUUGUUGCAGUUAAAAAGCUCGUAGUUGAACUUCGGGGUUUACCCAUUGGUCAGGCUUAAUUGUCUGCACUGGUGAGAUGAAUCUCUACCUUCUGAGGAACUUUCAUGCCAUUUAUUUGGUGUGAUGGGAAAUCAGGACUGUUACUUUGAAAAAAUUAGAGUGUUUAAAGCAGGCUAACGUCUGAAUACAUUAGCAUGGAAUAAUGAAAUAGGACGGACUGAUUCUAUUUCGUUGGUUUCUAGGAUCACCGUAAUGAUUAAUAGGGAUAGUUGGGGCAUUAGUAUUCAAUUGUCAGAGGUGAAAUUCUUGGAUUUAUUGAAGACUAACUACUGCGAAAGCAUUUGCCAAGGAUGUUUUCAUUAAUCAAGAACGAAAGUUAGGGGAUCGAAGACGAUCAGAUACCGUCGUAGUCUUAACCAUAGACUAUGCCGACUAGGGGUCGGACGAAGUUAAUUUUAUAAUGACGCGUUCGGCACCUUACG
This 523-nucleotide ribosomal RNA is filed under the name uncultured Glomeromycotina. RNAcentral's name for it is "SSU rRNA". It matches the Rfam family "Eukaryotic small subunit ribosomal RNA", at positions 569 to 1092 of the family's 1831-position model. Lineage: Eukaryota; Fungi; Glomeromycota. The record is from RNAcentral.